This 214-nucleotide long non-coding RNA is filed under the name Phoenix dactylifera (date palm). RNAcentral's name for it is "long non-coding RNA (PDAC_LNC000996)". The record is from RNAcentral. Lineage: Eukaryota; Viridiplantae; Streptophyta; Magnoliopsida; Arecales; Arecaceae.
UGCUCUGACAGGUAGUGUGUUGUAUGUAUUGAGAUAAUCCUGACAGAUCACCAUAGGAAAGGUGAUCAUUUUGUGCAUGCAUCAUGCCAAAAUUUUCAGAAUUUAUUGAUGAUUGAUAGGUAGUAGGGUUCUACGUAGUGGCUGGUGGCCUUAUGCCUACCCGCACCCUAGGACCGUCGCGGCGGCCCGCCGGGAACGGGGCGGGGGUCGUGAU